CCUACGGGUGGCAGCAGUGGGGAAUCUUCCGCAAUGGGCGCAAGCCUGACGGAGCAACGCCGCGUGAGUGAAGAAGGUCUUCGGAUCGUAAAGCUCUGUUGAUGGGGACGAACGUGCGAAGGGUGAAUAAUCCUUUGCAAUGACGGUACCUAUCGAGGAAGCCACGGCUAACUACGUGCCAGCAGCCGCGGUAAUACGUAGGUGGCGAGCGUUGUCCGGAAUCAUUGGGCGUAAAGGGAGCGCAGGCGGGCAUGUAAGUCUUUCUUAAAAGUUCGGGGCUCAACCCCGUGAUGGGAAAGAAACUACAUGUCUUGAGUACAGGAGAGGAAAGCGGAAUUCCCAGUGUAGCGGUGAAAUGCGUAGAUAUUGGGAGGAACACCAGUGGCGAAGGCGGCUUUCUGGACUGCAACUGACGCUGAGGCUCGAAAGCCAGGGGAGCGAACGGGAUUAGAUACCCCAGUAGUC
Molecule: ribosomal RNA, 465 nt
Filed under: uncultured Selenomonas sp.
Lineage: Bacteria; Bacillati; Bacillota; Negativicutes; Selenomonadales; Selenomonadaceae
Description: bacterial SSU rRNA
Rfam family: Bacterial small subunit ribosomal RNA
Source: RNAcentral